RNAcentral lists this long non-coding RNA (10867 nucleotides) under Populus tremula. Its description in RNAcentral is "long non-coding RNA (PTRE_LNC002921)". The stretch from base 7939 to 8094 matches the Rfam family "MIR2912 microRNA precursor family". The record is from RNAcentral. Lineage: Eukaryota; Viridiplantae; Streptophyta; Magnoliopsida; Malpighiales; Salicaceae.
AUGAUUGAGGCUGUUCAUCAAGCCAUUUCAUGAUUUUGUCCAACUGAUCCUGGUUUAAAUCAGGGUGAGGCUGACCCUUUAGGUGUAGCACUGGCCCAACAGGGUAAACUGGAGGGAUUCGAUGAUCAUCAGAGAAGGACCUAAGCACAAAAGGCUCCAGCUCAGCAAAUGUGUUCACGAUUAUACCUUUUCCAUCCUUGAACCUUUGAGCAACCUUAACAUAAGCAGCAUAACCACCAUGUUUAUUAAAUACAGCAUCAGGCAAUACUCGUGCUGGAACAGGAUUGAAAAAACCUGGUACUAACGAAUCAGGAUCAGACAUUUGCAUCACCUCGCUGAUUUCAUCAUGGCGUUUGGGUAGGUUUAGCAUAAGACCCAAGAAUCCUGCGUUGGAGGUUACGAAGAUAUAAGGAGGGAGACUGAAUUCAUUUGCAAUGUCAAUCGUGGACACGCAAAAGAAAUCAACAAUAAACCCGGCAACUCGGACAUCGGAGUUAGACAGGGAUGAUAUAAUAUCCAUGACAGUAGUUUUGACAUGGGGUAUGUAACUUUCAACAAAAUCACAGAUAUAAGCUUCCGGGGAUAUCGUUAAAAGCUCUGGUGGGGGAGGAUCCACUUGGGGAAGAUCAACGAGUUUGAUGCGGGGCUGUGAUGCAGCGAGUGAUCUGGUGUAUGAAUUAAUAGAUGGCAUAAAGGGAACGUUCAUAACAAGUGCUGUGAUUGAUAAUCGAUCAUCAUGGUCGAGCAGGCGCUUAGCUAAUUCAAGGCCUGAUGCUAAGUGACCGAUACCGGGGCCUGGAACAAAAAUCAGCUCUUCUUUCUUCAUCGCUUCUUCUAUGAUCUUCCUUUCUACCUCUUUCUCCUUUUCGUUUAUCUACUUAAUUACUCCUAGUCUCCCCACAAAUAAAGGGUCGACGCCUUAUUUCCUCUGGCCCGAACAUCAACGGAAAAUGAAUUGUUUUUAUUAUUAUUAUUAUUAUUAUUUUUUUUAUCGAAGAGGACGCAACACCCACUAAUUGUUUGCCAGCUCGCAAGGUAUUUUCUCUAGCUCUGGGCCGAUUCAUUUAUAAGAUAUUGUGGAAUCGAGGUUUCUCAAUUUUGAUUAUUAGUGAUUUGGUAAAAUUGCUUAUUUUAUUUAAAAUUAGGUGGUUGGUGUGAUAUGAUAUAAGUUAGCUUAUUUUUUUAUCAUUAAAAAAAUAUCAAGAGAACAUAAGUGUUUUAUAAAAAAAAUAAUUCAUAUCAUUAACUUGAUUGAGUUUACAUCAUAUGAUUUCUAUAACAUGAAAUAAAAAAUACAACCACAAUAAAAUAAGCCAACAAAAAAAAUUGACACAAAAAAAAAGAUUGAAAAAAUUAUCAGAGACUAAUUGGGUUAGCAUGUUAAAUAUACAACCUAAUUGUGCUAUUAUGGUAACCCUGUCAAAAGCAAGUUGAAUAAAACAAUGAUGUUCAAUUAUCAAAAAAAUUAAUGUAAAAACAUUAAAGGCACAUAAGCAAUAACUAAAAUAAUGAGGUCUAAAUUGAUACAAAAAUAAAAUAAAACCAAUUGAUGAGGAACUAAAUUAAAAAAAAAAUAUUUAAAAAAGAAAAAUAAGAAAUCCAACAUGAAAUCAAAUGAAUAAGGACUAAAUUCGAUAUGAAAAGCCACCUUUAUAUUUUACCAAGGAGAAGAGAUAAGAGAGAAAGGAGGGGGGGUGGAGUUCACUAGAGCCACAUCGUACAUCCUUCGCCAACACACACCCAUCCACCAUAAAGAUCUCAAUAAGUUGCUCCCAACACCACUAUCGAUGGAGGUGUUUGUCCGUUGAAGAAGCAUGUGUUGCACAUGCUUUUUCUACUCGCUGACGCGUGUGUUGCACGUGCAUAAAACUUUUACAUUUUUAUUUUAAUUUCUCAAAAUACCAUAUUGCCCCUUACCUAACAUAAUAUGAAUGAAACAACCAACAUGAAAAGACCAAAAAGCUCUUUAAUGCAAGUUAUAUAUUUUUUAUUUGUAAGGGCACUUUAGCAAUUGCAUUGUGCUUUGAAUAGAAAAAACUAAAAAUACCAUUGACCAAAAGUUUAGAAAAUUUAAUAUUUAAAGGUAUUUUAGACAAUACUGACACGAUCAAAAGAUUGAUGUCUUCUCCUAAGUGCAGGAGUGUCGAAGUAAUAAAUAACCUGACAAGACCGGGGUUAAACCACAAGAAGAUUACUAUAUAAAUUAUAAAUUAUAAAUAAUAACGGCGACGCCGACGACUUUGAGAUGUAAGAUUAAUGUGAAAAUUAAACAAGGAUAAAAUAAUUGUCAAGGUUAGAUGAUCCACUAAUAGUAUUAGAAAUAAGGAUGAUUGAUUCAAUUUUGUCGACCAAUGACAAAUUCAAAGCUUGAUAGUAGAAGGAUUAAUGCGGAAAAGACAUAAAAAAAUGGAUGGUAGGUUCAAAGAAAUCAAGAAAAGUCAAAUGAUUAUUCUUGUUAUCCACGAGUUUCAUGAAACGAAAGGAAUCUUACGUUGAUUGUUUAAAGUUACAAAGUUGCCUAAAAAAACAUCUAAAUCAAAGAUGACAUGUCUAACCCAGUUUGAUUUUAGGUUUUUAGAUUGUUUUAUGAGUUUUUUUAUUGAUGAAUUGAUUUCUAGUUAUCUAAGGGUGUUGGUAGGGUUUUUUAGGUUGAAAUGUCUUAAGAAUAAGGUUUCUAGAGUAAACAACUCACUACUCUAAUUUUCUGGACAUCAUAAUAGUGGCUAGAAUUUGAGUUAUCACAUGCCAUAUUUUUCUUGUAAUUAUGAAACGACCAAGCUUGUGUGUGGUUUUGCGAUGGUUUUAAAAAGGAAAGGAAACGCUUAAACACAAGAGUAAGGAGAGAUAAAGGGGGAAACUAGAGAAAUCAAGGAAAUAAGAAGAAGGAUGGUGACAAUUUCGAUUGGUUGCAUUUCAAAGCUCUCAUAAUUACUUGGUAGGGUGAUAAUAACCUAAUCAUAUAGGUUUGAGUAGCAUUGAAAUGAUUUAGGAGAAAAUUAAGAAAACUUCAGUUGGGGUUCUUGGAAAAAAAAUAGGAAAAAUGUAAAAUUGAUGGAAAUUGAAGAGAGAAUUUGAAAAAUUAAGGGUUAUAUAGCCAAGCAAUAAAGAAAAAAAAAGAGAGAGGAUAUUAAAUUGUUAGUUUAAAUGUGUAAUUAUUAUGAUCAUGUCUAGAGAUGAAAACAUUGCUUUAUUAAAUUUAAUUGAGAUAUUAGUAUGUGUUGGAAUUGAGAUUUUCUUGAGAAAGUUGAGGGUUAAAUGCAUGGUUGUAAAUGUAAAUGAAAUUAUAUGUGUUAGUAUUAAGCGAAAAGUGGAUUGAUUAAGUAUAGAUAAUUCAUUAUGGAAGAUGCAUUGAUGAAUGUUGAUUCUCCUUGUUGAAAUCCGGAGUUGUAUUAGGAGUGGGUCAAUCAGUGGAGGGAGUAAGGACUAUUGGAUGAGCAAAUGGGUGCCUGUCACCUUGUUCCAUUUAAAAUUUAAGUAUUGUCUUUAGUUUUAUCUUAUUUUCCUUAAUGGAUAAUAGUGAAAAUGGUGUUGGAAAUAAAAAUGUCGUGAAUCAACUUACAAAAAAGAGAAUUAUAUAUGAUUCAAUUUAAAUAGAAGUUGAUGAUCUAGUAGAAAAGAGAGGGGGAUUCAAUUCAAAUCAAAUAGAAUUAUUCAGUUUUUUAAAAUUUAAAAACAUUGACAGACUCGAAGAAUGUUCGAUACUUAAUAUGUCGUGAUAAUAAUAGCUAAGGAAAUGAUCAUUGAUGUUGAUAUAUAAUGUUAAUAGAUUAAAAAGAUGCUUGAUCUUUAGUAUGUUGUGAUGAUGGUAUUUAAGGAGAUGAUUAUUGAUGUUGGUUGAUAAUAUUGAUGGACUUGAAGGAUGUUCGACAUUCAAUGUGUCGUGAUAACGAUAGCUAAGAAAAUGAUUAUUAAUGUUGGUCGAUAAUGUUGAAGGACUCGAAGGAUGUUUGAUACUUAGUAUGACAUUAUAACAGUAGCUAAGAUAAUGAUUCAUGAUGUUGAUCAAUAAUAUUGAUGAACUCAAAUGAUGUCUGAUACUUAGUAUAUUGCAAUGACAGUAGCUAAGGAAACUGUUAUCGAUAUUGAUUGAUAAAAAAAUUGAUGGAUAUUACAAAUAAAAUAAAAGGAAUUGUUCUGAUAUUUAAUGAUCAUGUUGAUUGUGUCUAGAAAAACACGUAGAAAGUUUGUUGAGUUAAUUUAGAUUAUGAUUGUCAUGAAAAAUAAAUGAAUUAGUCGUUUGUAUUGACUACAACUAAGGGGUUGGGUGUAAAUUGAAUUGCUCUUCCCAAAUAUUACUUUUGGAUAUGUUUUUGAAAACUAGAUACAUGGUUUAUAUUGUGAGAUUAAAUUUUUUAAUUUACAUUUAUUUUUUGAUUUUUUCAUGUUAGUAUUUACUUAUAUUAACGAUUUUUUUUAUAAUAUUUAUUAAUACGGAUAAUUAUUGAUUUAUUUAAGUAGAUGCAUGUAUAAGUUUUUUAUUUUUUAUUGAGAAUUUUUUUAAUUAUAGAAAAAAACACAUAAGAAAAGCCUGCAUCUAGGGUUCUUGACGCCCUUUGAGAUAAAUAUGAUAUGGGAUAAGUAGUCUCUAGCCAUCUUGCUUCGAAAACUCAUCUGUAUAAUUUGAUGAUUUUCGGAGACGAGAAAUUAACUUAACUUAAUUCUCCCUUUUCUCAUUUUAGUUUCCUCUCAGGCACGACGAACAUUCAGUAUUUCAAAACUCAUGCCCUCGGUAAACUUCGCCUAGCUAGGACAGUAGCAGUACUAUAAUUAACUGGAAUUUAUACAUGACACGAAUCUGGAGUGGUUAUAACUAGAAUUUUAUUUGAAACUGGGUCAUGAUAUUGUUCAGGAAUGGAGCAUUCUCUCUUAAUGCGACAAGAAAAUACAUGCUUGUAAAGGUUUGAGCUUCUAAAUAAUAAGAGAUCUAUGAUUUUUUCUGGUUUUUAAGUGAUAAAAUUCUUAAAAGUAAUGUCAUCUCAUCGAUCUAGUUAACACCGAGUCAUCCAUGCUAGCUAGAACUAGAGAUUUUAAUUUCGGAGGGAGAAAAGAGAUCGUAAAUUUAAAGUUAACAUUUUUCCUACUGUUAAAACUAUUGAUAAAUUCAUUACCAGUUGUUAAUUAAAAGCUCGUUUAUCUACACAGCGAACCGUAUUUCAAACCGUGAUUUGCCUCAUAAAAAGCAUCACAUGUGCUUGGAACAUGGUGCAAACUGUGUUUAUUUAAAUUUUAAAUUUUUUAUUUAUUUAAAAUAAUUUUUUUUAUGUAUUUAGAUUGUUUUGAUGUGCUGCUGUCAAAAAUAAUUUUUUAAAAAUAAAAAAAUACUACUUUUAUAUAUUUCAAAUGAUUUUUACACGAUCGGCCAUAGUUUUAAACGAAACGCGGUUGGCACCGUAGAUAAUAAUCAAAAUAAAAUCUCAUAAUUGAUACAUAAUGAUGAAUAUUGUUAUAAUUUAAUUUUUAAUUUUUUAAAAUAUUUUCAUAAUACAAAAAAAUUAAAAAUAUAUUUUUAAUGUAUUUUUAACAUUUUCAACAUCUUCUCAAAAGAAAUCAAAAUUCAAAUUAACUUUUCAAGGCGUUGAGUUUUUAAAGGCGUCAUCCUCAAAAUCAUUGAAUAAUUUUAUUGAGUUGUUGUUGAAGUUGUCUUUUUUAAAAAAUAUCAAAACACAAAAAUAUAAGAAAAAAGAUACAAAACAAAAAAAUGUUUGGGCAAACGGAACAAAAAUGCAAAAAAAUAAUAAUAAGGGAUCAAAGUUUUUUUAGUUGCUUGGGGACUAAGCAAUUGGGAGGAAAAUGAUAAAUUAAUUUAUAUAUAAAUAGGUGGUUGUAGCACAUAAAAAAAAGAAGAAGACCGGAAAGUAAAGGAAAGAAAGAAAAACAAAAGGUUAUUCCCACAUUCUCUCCUUACACACACACACACAAAAAAACCCUAGCCCCAUCUUUACAAACACAACCGCCAACGAUACAAGAAAAAAGAGCCCCCAGCUUUAACCUUCAUCUUCCACCUGUUACAGUUCCUUCGACAAAACCUCCUCUCUGCAUCUUCUUUCCUAAGACAACUAUUCCAAACGCCCCACCAUCAUUUUCUGAUCCAGACACUUCAUUUCUUUCUCUAGCUAGCAACCUCAAUAACACAAAAGAAACAACACCUCAUUAUCACCAUUAAAGGCCUCAUCUUUGGUCGGUCUCUUCUCCUCCAACCAUAAAGAUAGUAGCAACAAUUUCUUCAACUUGCCAUCAACACUAAUAAACCAAGACAACAACUCCACCAACCUUCAAAUAGUAACUAAACACCCAAACCAACCUUUUUAUACCCUUAAUGCCACUCAUUAUUUGACCACCAUCAACCACAAUCAUCCCCUCCAACUAACACCUCUACAUUGUUUCUACACCUUGAAUCUCCUCUCAUCACAACCAUCUAUAUGCUAGCCUCACACAUGAUAGCUCCUCCACAUCUCAACCCAUAACCCUAACUCCUCAAAAAAAACUUAAUGGUUUAGUCAACCUUGAAAAUCAGACCCUUUCACAAUCAAACACCCUAGCAUCGGGCCUGAAAUCAACUCAACCUUUGGGCGACCCACUAGUAGCAUUGUUGUCACCAUCAGAAGUACCUUUUGUCGCUAGCAGAAGCGGUCGACAUCCUUUCAACCAUAACAACAAUCGCAUGAGGAGAAAGAAAAGAUAAGAGGACAAAAGCUUUGGAAGGCUAGAUCUAUUUCCUCAAAGAGUGUGAAGGAGCACUGCUAGUGUAGGAGAAAAGAGGAGGCAGGUGAGCACCCGAUCCACCAACCAUGCUUGUCCAGUAACGGCAACGCGUGAAUCCACGUUCUAGUAGUGGCAGUGGCACUUGGUACAUGACAUGAUCAAAAGAUUGAUAUCUUAUCCCAAGUGCAAGAGUGUCGAAGUAAAAAAUAACCCGGCAAGACCGAGAUCGAACCACAUGGAAGUUAACUAUAUAAAUUAAAUAUUUUAACAACAAUAACAACAAUAAGUUAAAGAGGACUUUGAAAUGUAAGAUUAAUAUGAGGAUUAAUCAAAGAUAAAAUCAAUUGUCAAUGUUAGAUGAUCCACUAAUAGUAUUAGAAAUAAGUAUAGUAUAAACUUUUUUUUAUUAAUCAACUGAAAACCACAUACAAAGGAGAUUCCAAACGGAUGAUUUAUCCUUAAUAGUUCAUUAUAAAUUUUUAACAUGAUCAUAUUAAUUAUCUUAUUUAAGUAACACCAAAUUUUUAAAUAUUGUCAGGAAUUCAUGAUGUUAACUUAUUUUAACAAUAAAUCAAGUUCCUUUCAUAGCACAAGUGUAGGUUAUACCAUACGGUUGGUUAUGAAAGUGCCAAGCAUUUGUUAUACCAAAUGUUAUAUAACACAAAUUUAGAUUAAUGAUUUAAUAAGCAAGGUAUUAAGAAUUAGUAAGGUAAAAAGAUAAGACAUGUUAAUAACAAAAUUUCUUGGAUAUAAACAUUGAAGUCCAUGUUGAGUUUAUAUUAUUCCUAUUAUAACACCAUUAGUGAAACCUUUUCACCUUGAUGUAAUAAACUUAGCUAAAUAUAAUGAAGAACAUAAAUAUAAAUAAACAACAUAAGAACAUAAGUAUAGUAAAGGAAAUGAAAAGCAUAAACAAGAGAUUAAGAAAAAUAUAACAUGAAAUAAAACUUAAACAUUACAAAAAUAUAAAGAAAGAAAUAAAAAGCAUGAUCUUGAUCUGGAAACCAAGAUGUCUAAAUGCAUGGCAAAUGCCUCCUUUUAUAUGCCAAAAUUUAGAACUAUUGAUUUGAUGACUAAUUGUUAAGUGGAUGGCCACAUCUUCACUUGGUGACAGUCUUUAUCUUCUUGUCUGAAUAAAACAUCAUUGAUAACGACUGAAUUUGAACCACCUGUACCAUGAAAGUUCUAGGAAAUUGUCUCAUCUUUCUAGGAAAAAAAAUUGAGGUCAUUUGGACUUUUAGAACUCAAAAUAUGGGCUGAACACUGAAUAGUGUCUGGGCUGCAGGACAGAUUCAGACUUCUCCGUUGUUGCUAUAAUUUGGACUUGAAAAUGAUCUUUUUAAAUCUUGAACUCCAUAUGAAAGUUUUAGGCCUAUGUGUUAUCUUUCCAUCCAUAUAAAGCAGACCUAAAUCUGAGAUCUACAACUCUAGAUAUAACUUAAUUACCGAAUAAUGUUCUAGUUUGGACUGAACCACCAUAUCUUUUCUAAGUUUGGCCAUCUCUUUGUCCUUUCAAUUUCAGUACUUAAACUCUUUAAUCAACUCUUUCAUUUAUGUGAUAGGCAUGCAUUUAAGAUGAAUAUUUAUCAUAAAUUAAAAGUAUCUUAUAUUAUUAAAUAUAUUAUUAUAAAACAUGCUUUAGUUUAGGAGUUAUUGAUACUUCAAGUGCAAAAUGAUGAUAUAAAAUCUUAAUAAAAAUACACUUUUAAGUAGUAAUCAAAUACAUUAUGCAAAUUAAAAGUAAAAGUACUAUUCUAGCCCCUUCCAACCUUGCAAUGACAAAUUGAUCUCGUUGAAAAGAUAUUUUUGCCUCUGAAAGUAAGUUACAUGGGUUUCAAUGUGAAGGGUAAAAUGGUCUUUCACUAUGCAAAUCUAUAGUGAAAUGUGGACCGUCCACAAUAUUUAUACUAUCUCCUUUUGUUUUGUUAAUGGAUUCACUCAUUUUGUUGAAAAAUAUUCUUUAAUAAAAAUUCAUUAACAUGAAACAUUAAUAAGAUUAAAAUAAAUUAUGGAUGAAUAAUAAAUUGACUUUAAAGAAGCAUUAGCAUGUAUAUUUUUUUAUGAAACCCAAGAUCCUCUAUUCAUGUUUUUAAAACUCAGACUAACCAAGCAAGUCAAUCUGGAACUUUGCCGACCCAAACCCUAGAUCGGUCCAUAUUUUUCCUGCCAUCUUUGUUAUAAUUCUCAUGUGCUAGUGCUUGAUCAAGAAGUAACCCAAACAAAAUUCUAUUACAGAAAUUUUGCAUUUUUAUUUUAAUUCAUAACUGCAUGAAGUGGAUAUCUCAUGAUUCAAAACUAACUCCUGUGACAAUGAGCUCAAAACUUCUCUCAUCAUAGCAGUGACCACUCUGCUUGCAUUGCAACUCAGAAUACAAAGUCAAAAGCAUCUCCUUUGACUCGUUAUAUUUCUCUAGGAUUUUAAAAUUAUGUUUAAUGAUUAUCGCACACAACUAUAAUCUUAAGAACUAUCAUGUCCAAUGUUGAAUCACACAAAGCCAACAGGACAAAUGAUGCAACAAAGUGGAUCCAUUUAAUCGGUUAACAGUCUUUAAUUCCCGGAUUGUUCAAUUUAGUUUUUAAUUAACUCUUCAAUUUUUAUAACUUUUAUAGGCAAUAAAAUUAUAAUUAUUCUUGAUAGAGUACAAGGAGAAAUAAAUUAUAAUUUAAAUCAUUUUAAUAUGUUAAUAAAAAAAUAAUUUUUUAUAUAAAAUAAAAAAUAUUUUAAAAAGUAAACAUUUUAAAAGACUGGUUCACUUAAGUCUUUGGACUGGCUCGCCUUUUUCUAACUGGCCGACGGACCCGUACUUAUCCAAACAGCUCGGCAAACAAGACCACGUCCAUGGUGUCACGUUGUCAAGAUAGGGUGAACAGUAAACAGAGAAUCCUAGAGCCCUUUUUCCUUCUGAACAAAAAUUCUAGAGCUCACUCCUCGAAUGCCAAACAACAAACACAGAGAGCUUGCUAGUCUUGCAGAAUCAAAGAUUAAUGGGAAAAAAAAAGACUUGCAAAAAUGACUUGGAGGUCCAUAUGACAGAAAUAUAUAAGACAGCAACUCUGCAAUCCUAUCCUUGUAAAGACUGCAUGAUGAAAUUUGAAGACUUCAAAUCUGAUAUAUUUGUUUCUGCAAAAGGAGCUAUAACUGGACUCUGUAACAAUAUCGAAGAUCAAGUUGAGAAAACAUCACACACCUUGGAAACUAGAAGAACAACUAGAGAGAUUCAUGAGACAGCAAAAUGAAAGGCUGAUAUAUGGAAAACAUUGCUAACGUUUUACAUCCAGGAAUACCUUAUUUUUCACACACAAUUUCUUCAACUACAAUGGAAAUCAACCCUUGCUAGCAGGCGGUAUUCAUAUCAGUUGUUUCCUGUUAUAUCCUGGAUGAGUUGUGUGAUGGAAGUGAAAGAAGAUCCACCAUCCAUCACAGCCUUCCUGCCUUUCUCGCUCAUUUCUUUCACCUUCUUCCUCACCUCACUAUCACUUUGCAUAACACAUAUUACAGAGUUUGCUAUCUCAUCUGCCGUCACAAGAUCACCACCUACCCUGUAAUCCAGUUUCAGCUCCACUGACAGUCCCAAUUCCUUCACCAUCCUAAAAGCAUUAAGCUGCUGUUCAGCAUAUAUAGGAAAUGUAACGAUAGGAACACCGUACCACAAGCUCUCCAAGAUGGAGUUCCACCCACAAUGAGACACGAACCCUCCUAUUGCCUUGUGAGCUAGGACUUCAACCUGCGGUGCCCAUCCACACAUAAUCCCUCGUCCUUCUAUGCGUUCCAAGAAUCCUUCUGGUAACACAUCUUCAGGAUUCGUGAACUGAUUAGACGGAGAGCCUGGAAAACGCAUGGACCACAAGAAUUUGAUCCCACUUUGCUCGAUGCCAAGUGCUAUUUCUUUCACUUGUGGGGGGCUAAAGCUCCCAAAGCUUCCGAAGCAUAGAAACACCACAGAUGAUUGAGGCUGUUCAUCAAGCCAUUUCAUGAUUUUGUCCAACCGAUCCUGGUUUAUUUCAGGGUGAGGCUGACCCUUUAGGUGGAGCACUGGCCCAACAGGGUAAACUGGAGGGAUUCGCUGAUCAUCAGAGAAGGACCUAAGCGCAAAAGGCUCCAGCUCAGCAAACGUGUUCACGAUUAUACCUUUUCCAUCCUUGAACCUUUGAGCAACCUUAACAU